ACUUCCGGCGCCACCGCCCGAAAUCCGGGUAGCUCUGCAUCCUCGGCGGCGAGAGGGCCGAGUCGCUGAAGGUGCAGGUGGGAGGGCUGGGCUUCGAGGGGAGCACAGAGACUGAAGGUGCGGUGGAACCCCGAGAGGGGCAGGGAUGUGGCGAAGAAUACUUUGAAACUGUUGUCAAGUCCAUUUGUUUUAAGAAAAUGAUAGAUUUACCUGAUCUAAGGAGGUGAGACUGGAGCUGCGUUGGGAGAGGGCCCAGGCUGCUGACAGAUAGACAGACACAAACCGUUCAGGAUUCUUCUCCAGGUUUACAAUCAACCUCAUAGGACUUCAAAAUAAAAACACCAAACAAAACUCCAGUUUCUCCAGCAUCCAGAAUAAAUGGCACAUGGUUGGCAGCCAAACCGCACACAACAGUUUGUCUAGAAAAUUUUGUGACAAGGAACACAAGCUAGCCUUAUUUCCUUUAAGGAUUACUGUUUGCGGUAAUUUCACCACUUCACUUGCUUUUCACUGACACAGGUCCUUAGCUGGCAAGUCAGAAAGCUAGAAACGCUUAAACACCCCAAUUUAAAAAAUGUCUUCUGCAAAUUUACUAGUGCUUAAAACUCAGGGCCAGCCUAGGUGAAGACUUACCUUCCAUGUUGCAUGUUUACAACAUUGAAUUGUUUCUUAGCAAUUUUCCCACACAAGUUAUGUAGCAGGAUGAAAGUCUUAAUUUAUAUUAAACCAGUAUAAACAUGGCCGUAAUUUCCCGCACCAAAGAAAUACAUUUUCAAUCAACACCAUGGUUAUAUUCAUCUUUUAUUAAAGCUAGCUAUAUAGGAUACCAAUUUAAAAUUGGAAUGCAGCUUCUCUAAUGUCAUUAUUGUUUGAGGAGUAGCCUAUUGUCACACAUGUGAGCACUACUGGUACAAUGCAAAAGCAAAGAAGCGGGGGUCCAAAGAAGCCACCUUCCUGGGUGGCACUGGAUGUACAUUUUGGCCUCUCAGUGUACAUUUUGGCCUGUUUACCUUUAUAAACCACACCAUAAAGCAUACAUUUAAACUGAGAAGAAAUAUGUAUGAGAGGAAAGCAUAUUUCAAUGGGCUUCAUGAGUCAAAAAUAACUUCAUAUUUCAUCAUGUUUACGUCAUCAGCUACCCCUUGAGAAAGAAAAGUUCCAUAUAAAUGUGUGAUCUGAGACAUACUUUUAGAAAACCUUAACAGAGAGCUAUGCAAAU
Sus scrofa (pig) is the source of this 1219-nucleotide long non-coding RNA. RefSeq lists it as uncharacterized. The record is from RefSeq and is a predicted model, not a curated record. Lineage: Eukaryota; Metazoa; Chordata; Mammalia; Artiodactyla; Suidae.